ACUUGGCUUAUCCAAUAAACCAAUUGGACUUGAUCCAAUCAAGCCCAAACUAAAUCUAAUUAAAUCAUAUUUAAUUAGACUUAAUCUCAGCCCAUUGGCAUAAUCAAAUUAAGCCAAUUAGCAAUCGAAUUGCUAAUCGAUCCUCCUGCAACACUUGCACUGGGUUAAAUGUCAAUCAUAUUGAUCAUUUAACCCUAGAACGAUUCUUAAUCAUUGAUCAACAAUCCGAUCGGAUCAUGAACUCUAAUGUGUGUGACCUCAUAGGUCCGAACCUAAGUCGGGAGUACAGGAACAAAUUUUUGUACCAAUCGAAGUGAGCAUCUAGCAAUGGUAUCCGAUGACCGGAUAGGUCGAAUGUGUAGAACAACAUCUUUAGAACCCAUGCGGAUAUAGUUUUCAUAUAAUUCAUCCCCUUGACCAAAAUGAUCAUAGGACACCCC
This 440-nucleotide long non-coding RNA is filed under the name Elaeis guineensis (African oil palm). RNAcentral's name for it is "long non-coding RNA (EGUI_LNC079506)". Lineage: Eukaryota; Viridiplantae; Streptophyta; Magnoliopsida; Arecales; Arecaceae. The record is from RNAcentral.